UACGUAGGGUGCGAGCGUUAAUCGGAAUUACUGGGCGUAAAGCGUGCGCAGGCGGUUUUGUAAGCCAGAUGUGAAAUCCCCGGGCUUAACCUGGGAAUGGCAUUUGUGACUGCAUGGCUAGAGUACGGUAGAGGGGGAUGGAAUUCCGCGUGUAGCAGUGAAAUGCGUAGAUAUGCGGAGGAACACCGAUGGCGAAGGCAGCCCCCUGGGCUGAGAUUGACGCUCAGGCACGAAAGCGUGGGGAGCAAACAGG
This 253-nucleotide ribosomal RNA is filed under the name uncultured bacterium. Its description in RNAcentral is "partial 16S ribosomal RNA". It matches the Rfam family "Bacterial small subunit ribosomal RNA", at positions 524 to 776 of the family's 1533-position model. The record is from RNAcentral.